GCCAGCCGUACAGCCCCCACUCUCCUAAAGCGGGUGUCGCAUGUUCGAAUCAUGCCGGGGGCA
Molecule: transfer RNA, 63 nt
Filed under: Nonomuraea africana
Lineage: Bacteria; Bacillati; Actinomycetota; Actinomycetes; Streptosporangiales; Streptosporangiaceae
Description: tRNA-Arg
Source: RNAcentral